UACGUAGGGUGCAAGCGUUAAUCGGAAUUACUGGGCGUAAAGCGUGCGCAGGCGGUUAUGUAAGACAGGUGUGAAAUCCCAGGGCUUAACCUUGGAACUGCAUUUGUGACUGCAUAGCUAGAGUACGGUAGAGGGGGAUGGAAUUCCGCGUGUAGCAGUGAAAUGCGUAGAUAUGCGGAGGAACACCGAUGGCGAAGGCAAUCCCCUGGACCUGUACUGACGCUCAUACACGAAAGCGUGGGGAGCAAACAGG
Molecule: ribosomal RNA, 253 nt
Filed under: uncultured bacterium
Lineage: Bacteria
Description: partial 16S ribosomal RNA
Rfam family: Bacterial small subunit ribosomal RNA
Source: RNAcentral